GACGAACCGUGCGAACGUUGUUCGGAAUCACUGGGCUUAAAGGGCGCGUAGGCGGCUGACCAAGUCAGUGGUGAAAUCCUGCAGCUUAACUGUAGAAGGGCCUUUGAUACUGGUCGGCUCGAGGGAGGUAGGGGUCUGUGGAACUUCUGGUGGAGCGGUGAAAUGCGUUGAUAUCAGAAGGAACGCCGGUGGCGAAAGCGACGGACUGGACCUCUUCUGACGCUGAGGCGCGAAAGCUAGGGGAGCAAACGGG
RNAcentral lists this ribosomal RNA (253 nucleotides) under uncultured Gemmata sp. RNAcentral describes it as "partial 16S ribosomal RNA". It matches the Rfam family "Bacterial small subunit ribosomal RNA", at positions 524 to 776 of the family's 1533-position model. The record is from RNAcentral. Lineage: Bacteria; Pseudomonadati; Planctomycetota; Planctomycetia; Gemmatales; Gemmataceae.